AUUAAAGGUGAUUUCCUCUCUAAGGGCCAAUGAGAGCCUCUCUCAGGAAAGUAGCAACUUGGAAGAAAAUCUGGCAUGCCCAAGGUCUUUGGGGAACUGAGAAUAUGUAAUUUCUUUUGCCUUCCUUUGGCUACUUUACAUGU
RNAcentral lists this small nucleolar RNA (143 nucleotides) under Sciurus vulgaris (Eurasian red squirrel). RNAcentral describes it as "Small nucleolar RNA SNORA67 (ENSSVLG00005005112.1)". It matches the Rfam family "Small nucleolar RNA SNORA67". From Rfam's summary of the family: U67 belongs to the H/ACA class of snoRNAs which are thought to guide the sites of modification of uridines to pseudouridines. The record is from Rfam by way of RNAcentral. Lineage: Eukaryota; Metazoa; Chordata; Mammalia; Rodentia; Sciuridae.